RNAcentral lists this ribosomal RNA (440 nucleotides) under uncultured bacterium. RNAcentral describes it as "partial 16S ribosomal RNA". It matches the Rfam family "Bacterial small subunit ribosomal RNA", at positions 338 to 795 of the family's 1533-position model. The record is from RNAcentral.
CCUACGGGAGUCAGCAGUAGGGAAUAUUGCUCAAUGGGGGAAACCCUGAAGCAGCAACGCCGCGUGGCGGAUGAAGGUUUUCGGAUUGUAACCUCCUUUUGUUAGAGAAGAUACUGACGGUAUCUAACGAAUAAGCACCGGCUAACUCCGUGCCAGCAGCCGCGGUAAUACGGAGGGUGCAAGCGUUACUCGGAAUCACUGGGCGUAAAGAGCGCGUAGGCGGGAUAGCAAGUCAGAUGUGAAAUCCUAUGGCUUAACCAUAGAACUGCAUUUGAAACUGUUAUUCUAGAGUAGGGGAGAGGUAGGUGGAAUGCUUGGUGGAGGGGUACAAUCCGUAGAGAUCAAGAGGAAUACUCAUUGCGAAGGCGACCUGCUAGAACAUAACUGACGCUGAUGCGCGAAAGCGUGGGGAGCAAACAGGAUUAGAUACCCGUGUAGUC